UACGGAGGAUGCAAGCGUUAUCCGGAUUUAUUGGGUUUAAAGGGUGCGCAGGUUGUUUGAUAAGUCAGUGGUGAAAGUCUGUCGCUUAACGGUAGGAUUGCCUUGAUACUGUUAGACUUGAAUAUGGAUGAGGUAGGCGGAAUGUGUAGUGUAGCGGUGAAAUGCAUAGAUAUUACACAGAACACCGAUUGCGAAGGCAUCUCACAAAGCCGUUAUUGACGCUGAGGCACGAAAGUGUGGGGAUCAAACAGGAUUA
This 256-nucleotide ribosomal RNA is filed under the name uncultured prokaryote. Its description in RNAcentral is "partial 16S ribosomal RNA". It matches the Rfam family "Bacterial small subunit ribosomal RNA", at positions 524 to 780 of the family's 1533-position model. The record is from RNAcentral.